RNAcentral lists this ribosomal RNA (845 nucleotides) under uncultured bacterium. RNAcentral's name for it is "bacterial SSU rRNA". It matches the Rfam family "Bacterial small subunit ribosomal RNA", at positions 8 to 843 of the family's 1533-position model. The record is from RNAcentral.
AGAGUUUGAUCCUGGCUCAGGAUGAACGCUAGCUACAGGCUUAACACAUGCAAGUCGAGGGGAAACGAUAUUGGAAGCUUGCUUCCGAUAGGCGUCGACCGGCGCACGGGUGAGUAACGCGUAUCCAACCUGCCCAUCACUUGGGGAUAACCUUGCGAAAGUAAGACUAAUACCCAAUGAGGUCUCUAGAAGACAUCUGAAAGAGAUUAAAGAUUUAUCGGUGAUGGAUGGGGAUGCGUCUGAUUAGCUUGUUGGCGGGGUAACGGCCCACCAAGGCGACGAUCAGUAGGGGUUCUGAGAGGAAGGUCCCCCACAUUGGAACUGAGACACGGUCCAAACUCCUACGGGAGGCAGCAGUGAGGAAUAUUGGUCAAUGGGCGAGAGCCUGAACCAGCCAAGUAGCGUGCAGGAUGACGGCCCUAUGGGUUGUAAACUGCUUUUAUAAGGGAAUAAAGUGGGAGUCGUGACUCCUUUUGCAUGUACCUUAUGAAUAAGGACCGGCUAAUUCCGUGCCAGCAGCCGCGGUAAUACGGAAGGUCCGGGCGUUAUCCGGAUUUAUUGGGUUUAAAGGGAGCGUAGGCCGGAGAUUAAGCGUGUUGUGAAAUGUAGACGCUCAACGUCUGCACUGCAGCGCGAACUGGUUUCCUUGAGUACGCACAAAGUGGGCGGAAUUCGUGGUGUAGCGGUGAAAUGCUUAGAUAUCACGAAGAACUCCGAUUGCGAAGGCAGCUCACUGGAGCGCAACUGACGCUGAAGCUCGAAAGUGCGGGUAUCGAACAGGAUUAGAUACCCUGGUAGUCCGCACGGUAAACGAUGGAUGCCCGCUGUUGGUCUGAAUAGGUCAG